GGGGGGACAUCAAUUGGCGGUC
Molecule: unclassified non-coding RNA, 22 nt
Filed under: Dictyostelium discoideum
Lineage: Eukaryota; Evosea; Eumycetozoa; Dictyosteliales; Dictyosteliaceae
Source: RNAcentral